AGUUGCUGGUUAUCAUUUGAAAGUGGAGCUUUGUAUGAAUUUAUUGGACCCGUAGUUGGAAUUGUUUUGGUCAAUAUCAUAAUUGUGUUCAGUCUCGUUGUGACUCUAUGUUCAACAAUUUCCUCAGAAGGAAAUCUGAAGAAAAGGACAAUACCCCGAAUAAAGUCCAUCUGUACCCUGUUACCUGUUCUGGGUGUCACGUGGUUAUUUGGUCUCUUGUCUAUUAAUGAGGAUGUGGUCGUUUUUCAGUAUAUCUUCUCCCUGUUGAACUCCUUUCAGGGACUUUUUAUUUUCAUCUCCAAAUGUCUUCUGAAUAAAAAGAU
This is a long non-coding RNA of Saccostrea cuccullata (small rock oyster), 323 nucleotides long. RefSeq lists it as uncharacterized. The transcript is spliced from 4 exons. Lineage: Eukaryota; Metazoa; Mollusca; Bivalvia; Ostreida; Ostreidae. The record is from RefSeq and is a predicted model, not a curated record.